RNAcentral lists this ribosomal RNA (772 nucleotides) under uncultured Bacteroidota bacterium. RNAcentral describes it as "bacterial SSU rRNA". It matches the Rfam family "Bacterial small subunit ribosomal RNA", at positions 60 to 833 of the family's 1533-position model. Lineage: Bacteria; Pseudomonadati; Bacteroidota. The record is from RNAcentral.
AGUCGAGGGGUAUUUAUCUUCGGAUAGAGAGACCGGCGCACGGGUGCGUAACGCGUAUGCAAUCUACCUUUUACAGAGGGAUAGCCCAGAGAAAUUUGGAUUAAUACCUCAUAGUAUGCAGAGUUGGCAUCAACACUGCAUUAAAGUCACAACGGUAAAAGAUGAGCAUGCGUCCCAUUAGCUAGUUGGUAAGGUAACGGCUUACCAAGGCUACGAUGGGUAGGGGUCCUGAGAGGGAGAUCCCCCACACUGGUACUGAGACACGGACCAGACUCCUACGGGAGGCAGCAGUGAGGAAUAUUGGACAAUGGGCGCAAGCCUGAUCCAGCCAUGCCGCGUGCAGGAUGACGGUCCUAUGGAUUGUAAACUGCUUUUAUACGAGAAGAAACACUGCUUCGUGAAGCAGCUUGACGGUAUCGUAAGAAUAAGGAUCGGCUAACUCCGUGCCAGCAGCCGCGGUAAUACGGAGGAUCCAAGCGUUAUCCGGAAUCAUUGGGUUUAAAGGGUCCGUAGGCGGUUUAAUAAGUCAGUGGUGAAAGCCCAUCGCUCAACGGUGGAACGGCCAUUGAUACUGUUAAACUUGAAUUAUUAGGAAGUAACUAGAAUAUGUAGUGUAGCGGUGAAAUGCUUAGAGAUUACAUGGAAUACCAAUUGCGAAGGCAGGUUACUACUAAUGGAUUGACGCUGAUGGACGAAAGCGUGGGUAGCGAACAGGAUUAGAUACCCUGGUAGUCCACGCCGUAAACGAUGGAUACUAGCUGUUGGAAAGCAU